Molecule: non-coding RNA, 247 nt
Organism: Pelobates cultripes (western spadefoot toad)
Lineage: Eukaryota; Metazoa; Chordata; Amphibia; Anura; Pelobatidae
Source: the annotation of a GenBank genome assembly
AUGCAUUUUGUCAACAGAUCAUAUUAUGGGGAGAUCGUCCUCUUAUACACUUCAUUUCAAGCCAUCUUUCCUGGCAUUUCUCAUUAUCAGACUCUAUAACAUCUACAUGCAUCUUACUUCCGCAACAGGCCUUAUUACCUUGGAUUACUACACUAAGGAAAUACUACAAGGCUGACCCCAGCAUAUGGAUGGAUUGAAGAGCAGUGUGAUAUAUAUGAAACAGCUCUGGACCUAAUUCAUAGAGUCC